Molecule: transfer RNA, 71 nt
Filed under: Marmota monax (woodchuck)
Lineage: Eukaryota; Metazoa; Chordata; Mammalia; Rodentia; Sciuridae
Description: tRNA.Ala
Source: RNAcentral
GGGGUUGUGGUUCAGUGGUAGAGUGCUUACCUUGCCCGUGUGAGGCACUGAGUUCAAUCCUCAGCACCACA